This 784-nucleotide ribosomal RNA is filed under the name unidentified microorganism. Its description in RNAcentral is "bacterial SSU rRNA". It matches the Rfam family "Bacterial small subunit ribosomal RNA", at positions 660 to 1440 of the family's 1533-position model. The record is from RNAcentral.
ACCGGAAUUCCUGGUGUAGCGGUGAAAUGCGCAGAUAUCAGGAGGAACACCGAUGGCGAAGGCAGGUCUCUGGGCUGUUACUGACGCUGAGGAGCGAAAGCAUGGGGAGCGAACAGGAUUAGAUACCCUGGUAGUCCAUGCCGUAAACGUUGGGCACUAGGUGUGGGGGACAUUCCACGUUUUCCGCGCCGCAGCUAACGCAUUAAGUGCCCCGCCUGGGGAGUACGGCCGCAAGGCUAAAACUCAAAGGAAUUGACGGGGGCCCGCACAAGCGGCGGAGCAUGCGGAUUAAUUCGAUGCAACGCGAAGAACCUUACCAAGGCUUGACAUGUUCUCGAUCGCCACAGAGAUGUGGUUUCCCCUUUGGGGCGGGUUCACAGGUGGUGCAUGGUUGUCGUCAGCUCGUGUCGUGAGAUGUUGGGUUAAGUCCCGCAACGAGCGCAACCCUCGUUCCAUGUUGCCAGCGGGUUAUGCCGGGGACUCAUGGGAGACUGCCGGGGUCAACUCGGAGGAAGGUGGGGACGACGUCAAAUCAUCAUGCCCCUUAUGUCUUGGGCUUCACGCAUGCUACAAUGGCCGGUACAAUGGGUUGCGAUACUGUGAGGUGGAGCUAAUCCCAAAAAGCCGGUCUCAGUUCGGAUUGGGGUCUGCAACUCGACCCCAUGAAGUCGGAGUCGCUAGUAAUCGCAGAUCAGCAACGCUGCGGUGAAUACGUUCCCGGGCCUUGUACACACCGCCCGUCAAGUCACGAAAGUCGGUAACACCCGAAGCCGGUGGCCCAACC